Molecule: ribosomal RNA, 253 nt
Filed under: uncultured bacterium
Lineage: Bacteria
Description: partial 16S ribosomal RNA
Rfam family: Bacterial small subunit ribosomal RNA
Source: RNAcentral
UACGUAGGGGGCAAGCGUUGUCCGGAAUCAUUGGGCGUAAAGAGCGCGUAGGCGGUCCGGUAAGUCCGCUCUGAAAGUCCGGGGCUCAACCCCGGGAGGCGGGCGGAUACUGUCGGGCUAGAGUCCGGAAGAGGCGAGUGGAAUUCCUGGUGUAGCGGUGAAAUGCGUAGAUAUCGAGAGGAACACCUGCGGCGAAGGCGGGUUGCUGGGCCGACACUGACGCUGAUGCGCGAAAGCCAGGGGAGCGAACGGG